This 535-nucleotide long non-coding RNA is filed under the name Glycine max (soybean). RNAcentral's name for it is "long non-coding RNA (GMAX_LNC003119)". The record is from RNAcentral. Lineage: Eukaryota; Viridiplantae; Streptophyta; Magnoliopsida; Fabales; Fabaceae.
UUUAUGCUCAAAUUCACCCUCUUUCUUUUACAAUCUCAACUCUCAGCUCUCUUCUUCAAUUCUACCCCUCCAAACCCCUAGGGAGAGGAUUUUUGAGGUAGUGCUUCACAUAGUGUAUUUUAAAACAGGGAUCGAUGGAAAUUUUGCAUGUUUGUUAUUCAUUCAUUAGAAAGUUGAAAAAAUCAUUAAUUAGGUUAUUCACCAUUUUGAUUCUGUUAAAUCUUGGCCAUCCAUCAGUAUGAAUAGACUGGAAGUUAGUUUGGAAAGAAAUUUCAAAUUUAAGUGUUUGAACUUUGAAGGAAUUUCAUAUGGUAUUGAAUUUUAUGCAUUGAUGUUAACGUUUCAGAAGGUAACAAUCGGUGGUUGGUUCAGGUGAUAUAUGCCUGAUUUCUUUCAAUAUUGAAUCUCAAAUUGAGACUUAUUCUCCAAUGAAAAAGAUAGUCCCAUCACAUAGAAGUUUUUACUUUGAAUAAGGUUAAACGUCUCCUUUGUAACAUACUUAAGGGCUGUUUGUUUGCUUGGAAAUAGGGGAGAG